AGCGAACGCUGGCGGCAGGCUUAACACAUGCAAGUCGAACGGGCGUAGCAAUACGUCAGUGGCAGACGGGUGAGUAACGCGUGGGAACGUACCUUUUGGUUCGGAACAACACAGGGAAACUUGUGCUAAUACCGGAUAAGCCCUACGGGGGAAAGAUUUAUUGCCAUUGGAGCGGCCCGCGUCUGAUUAGCUAGUUGGUGAGGUAAUGGCUCACCAAGGCGACGAUCAGUAGCUGGUCUGAGAGGAUGACCAGCCACACUGGGACUGAGACACGGCCCAGACUCCUACGGGAGGCUG
RNAcentral lists this ribosomal RNA (297 nucleotides) under uncultured Pseudomonadota bacterium. RNAcentral describes it as "uncultured proteobacterium partial 16S ribosomal RNA". It matches the Rfam family "Bacterial small subunit ribosomal RNA", at positions 29 to 351 of the family's 1533-position model. The record is from RNAcentral. Lineage: Bacteria; Pseudomonadati; Pseudomonadota.